Molecule: long non-coding RNA, 551 nt
Organism: Suricata suricatta (meerkat)
Lineage: Eukaryota; Metazoa; Chordata; Mammalia; Carnivora; Herpestidae
Exons: 2
Source: RefSeq, a predicted model, not a curated record
AAAAAAAAGAAAUCCUAGUGAUGAAAACAGAUACCUGAGAAGCAGAUGAAAGAAAUGGUUUUAAGUGUCUAGCUGGCUGCCGUGAAGACCCCAGCAACCCGAACAACUCGAGUUUGUACUUUACUCCUCCAUGGGAGAGGUGACAAACCCUCAACCAGGAAAACGUCUUCAGGAAAAGAAGAAGUUCCUUGUGGGCCUGGAACAAGAAGGCCACCUGCUUACUUUCCGAUUUCGAUGGCACGGAGACACUCUGCCUAGAGCUAAUGGACGCGUGUAGGACUUGGGGGGAAAAUUAUCCUCUCAGCCUCUUUCCCACAUCAUGUCUUUCUCUCCAAGAACAUGAAAAUAUUGUGCAAAACUGCCUUAUGGGGAUGAAAUGAAGCAGCAGAAAACUAUUCCUACAGUGUCUGAUUUCUAUUCCUCACCCCAACACUACUGAGUGGUGCUACAUUUGGGGCAACGGGAGGAGAUUCCUCCCUGCAACCAUCCCUCUCAUCUGCCUUUCCUCUACCUCCUUUGUCUUUCAAAUAAACCUCUGAGGUGGACUGCCA